RNAcentral lists this ribosomal RNA (609 nucleotides) under uncultured bacterium. Its description in RNAcentral is "bacterial SSU rRNA". It matches the Rfam family "Bacterial small subunit ribosomal RNA", at positions 29 to 635 of the family's 1533-position model. The record is from RNAcentral.
ACGAACGCUGGCGGCGUGCUUAAUACAUGCAAGUCGAGCGGGGUUACUGCGACAGAUCCCUUCGGGGUGACGUUGCUUUAACCUAGCGGCGGACGGGUGAGUAACGCGUGGGUAACCUACCCUAAAGCUCGGGAUAACAGUGGGAAACCGCUGCUAAUACCGGAUGACUUUAACCUAUGGCAUCAUGGGUUAAAGAAAGAUUUAUCGCUUUAGGAUGGGCCCGCGUCCCAUUAGCUAGUUGGUAGGGUAAAGGCCUACCAAGGCGACGAUGGGUAGCCGACCUGAGAGGGUGAUCGGCCACACUGGGACUGAGACACGGCCCAGACUCCUACGGGAGGCAGCAGUGGGGAAUAUUGCACAAUGGAGGGAACUCUGAUGCAGCAACGCCGCGUGAGUGAAGAAGGUUUUCGGAUCGUAAAACUCUGUCAUUGGGGAAGAAUAAAUGACGGUACCCAAUGAGGAAGCCCCGGCUAACUACGUGCCAGCAGCCGCGGUAAUACGUAGGGGGCGAGCGUUGUCCGGAAUUACUGGGCGUAAAGGGUACGUAGGCGGCUAUAUAAGUCAGGUGUGAAAUACCAGUGCUUAACACUGGAAUUGCAUUUGAAACUG